Molecule: ribosomal RNA, 508 nt
Filed under: uncultured bacterium
Lineage: Bacteria
Description: partial 16S ribosomal RNA
Rfam family: Bacterial small subunit ribosomal RNA
Source: RNAcentral
GAUGAACGCUAGCUACAGGCUUAACACAUGCAAGUCGAGGGGAAACGAUAGAGAAAGCUUGCUUUUUCUAGGCGUCGACCGGCGCACGGGUGAGUAACGCGUAUCCAACCUGCCCACCACUUGGGGAUAACCUUGCGAAAGUAAGACUAAUACCCAAUGAUAUCUCAAGAAGACAUCUGAAUGAGAUUAAAGAUUUAUCGGUGAUGGAUGGGGAUGCGUCUGAUUAGCUUGUUGGCGGGGUAACGGACCACCAAGGCGACGAUCAGUAGGGGUUCUGAGAGGAAGGUCCCCCACAUUGGAACUGAGACACGGUCCAAACUCCUACGGGAGGCAGCAGUGAGGAAUAUUGGUCAGUGGGCGAGAGCCUGAACCAGCCAAGUAGCGUGCAGGAUGACGGCCCUAUGGGUUGUAGACCUCUUUUAUAAGGGAAUAAAGAUAAGUACGCGUACUUAGUUGCAUGUACCUUAUGAAUAAGCAUCGGCUAACUCCGUGCCAGCAGCCGCGGUAA